Molecule: ribosomal RNA, 371 nt
Filed under: uncultured organism
Description: partial 16S ribosomal RNA
Rfam family: Bacterial small subunit ribosomal RNA
Source: RNAcentral
GUAGGUGGCAAGCGUUGUCCGGAAUUAUUGGGCGUAAAGCGCGCGCAGGCGGUCCUUUAAGUCUGAUGUGAAAGCCCACGGCUCAACCGUGGAGGGUCAUUGGAAACUGGGGGACUUGAGUACAGAAGAGGAAAGCGGAAUUCCAAGUGUAGCGGUGAAAUGCGUAGAGAUUUGGAGGAACACCAGUGGCGGAGGCGGCUUUCUGGUCUGUAACUGACGCUGAGGCGCGAAAGCGUGGGGAGCAAACAGGAUUAGAUACCCUGGUAGUCCACGCCGUAAACGAUGAGUGCUAAGUGUUAGGGGUUUCCCGCCCCCUUAGUGCUGCAGCUAACGCAUUAAGCACUCCGCCUGGGGAGUACGCCGCAAGGCUG